UGUCACAGACCAGGGUCAUUUCUGAGCCCUCUUGGUCUCUCCAUAGGUUGUAGAGUAUCCGGAGUACUUGGAUCUUCGCCCAUACAUGUCUCAGGCAGAUGGAGAAGCACUCCUCUACUCCUUAUAUGCUGUCCUGGUGCACAGUGGUGUCAGCUGUCAUGGAGGACACUAUUUCUGCUACACAAAGGCCAGCAAUGGAUUGUGGUACCGGAUGGACGAUGAAUCUGUGCAGCUGUGUUCCAUUGACACAGUUCUCAGGCAGCAAGCCUACCUGCUGUUCUAUGCCAGAUGCUCUGAUCUGAGAAUUGGAGAAAGGGCUUCUUCCUCACUGGCACCAUCACAUGCCCCUUCCUUCCUCAGUCAGUGUGUGACCAGCAGCAAGCAGGCGGGCUCUGUUGGACCACAGGCUCUGACUGGUAGGACUAAGGUAACUUUGGGGUCAUGGGUCAGGGCAUCAGAGGAAUAGUGGAUUUCUUUCUGGGAUCUCAGCAUUUCUCUUUUGUCCCUCACACACCGCACCUUUCUUCAC
Pseudopipra pipra is the source of this 529-nucleotide long non-coding RNA. RefSeq lists it as uncharacterized. The record is from RefSeq and is a predicted model, not a curated record. Lineage: Eukaryota; Metazoa; Chordata; Aves; Passeriformes; Pipridae. The transcript is spliced from 3 exons.